RNAcentral lists this ribosomal RNA (254 nucleotides) under uncultured bacterium. Its description in RNAcentral is "partial 16S ribosomal RNA". It matches the Rfam family "Bacterial small subunit ribosomal RNA", at positions 524 to 776 of the family's 1533-position model. The record is from RNAcentral.
UACGAAGGGGGCUAGCGUUGCUCGGAAUCACUGGGCGUAAAGGGUGCGUAGGCGGGUCUUUUAAGUCAGGGGUGAAAUCCUGGAGCUCAACUCCAGAACUGCCUUUGAUACUGAAGAUCUUGAGUUCGGGAGAGGUGAGUGGAACUGCGAGUGUAGAGGUGAAAUUCGUAGAUAUUCGCAAGAACACCAGUGGCGAAGGCGGCUCACUGGCCCGAUACUGACGCUGAUGCGCGAAAGCGUGGGGAGCAAACAGG